This 497-nucleotide ribosomal RNA is filed under the name uncultured bacterium. RNAcentral describes it as "partial 16S ribosomal RNA". It matches the Rfam family "Bacterial small subunit ribosomal RNA", at positions 28 to 507 of the family's 1533-position model. The record is from RNAcentral.
GAUGAACGCUGGCGGCGUGCCUAAUACAUGCAAGUCGAGCGAACGGACGAGAAGCUUGCUUCUCUGAUGUUAGCGGCGGACGGGUGAGUAACACGUGGAUAACCUACCUAUAAGACUGGGAUAACUUCGGGAAACCGGAGCUAAUACCGGAUAAUAUUUUGAACCGCAUGGUUCAAAAGUGAAAGACGGUCUUGGUGUCACUUAUAGAUGGUUCCGCGCUGCAUUAGCUAGUUGGUAAGGUAACGGCUUACCAAGGCAACGAUGCAUAGCCGACCUGAGAGGGUGAUCGGCCACACUGGAACUGAGACACGGUCCAGACUCCUACGGGAGGCAGCAGUAGGGAAUCUUCCGCAAUGGGCGAAAGCCUGACGGAGCAACGCCGCGUGAGUGAUGAAGGUCUUCGGAUCGUAAAACUCUGUUAUUAGGGAAGAACAUAUGUGUAAGUAACUGUGCACAUCUUGACGGUACCUAAACAGAAAGCCACGGCUAACUACGUG